GACGAACGCUGGCGGCGUGCCUAAUACAUGCAAGUAGAACGCUGAAGGAGGAGCUUGCUCUUCUGGAUGAGUUGCGAACGGGUGAGUAACGCGUAGGUAACCUGCCUGGUAGCGGGGGAUAACUAUUGGAAACGAUAGCUAAUACCGCAUAACAGUAGAUGUUGCAUGACAUUUACUUAAAAGGUGCAAUUGCAUCACUACCAGAUGGACCUGCGUUGUAUUAGCUAGUUGGUGGGGUAACGGCUCACCAAGGCGACGAUACAUAGCCGACCUGAGAGGGGGAUCGGCCACACUGGGACUGAGACACAGCCCAGACUCCUAAGGGAGGCAGCAGUAGGGAAUCUUCGGCAAUGGACGGAAGUCUGACCGAGCAACGCCGCGUGAGUGAAGAAGGUUUUCGGAUCGUAAAGCUCGGUUGUAAGAGAAGAACGAGUGUGAGAGUGGAAAGUUCACACUGUGACGGUAUCUUACCAGAAAGGGACGGCUAACUACGUG
Molecule: ribosomal RNA, 495 nt
Filed under: uncultured bacterium
Lineage: Bacteria
Description: partial 16S ribosomal RNA
Rfam family: Bacterial small subunit ribosomal RNA
Source: RNAcentral